AUUGAACGCUGGCGGCAGGCCUAACACAUGCAAGUCGAGCGGAUGAAGGGAGCUUGCUCCUGGCUUCAGCGGCGGACGGGUGAGUAAUGCCUAGGAAUCUGCCUGGUAGUGGGGGAUAACGUCCGGAAACGGGCGCUAAUACCGCAUACGUCCUGAUGUAGAAAGGGGGGGAUCUUCGGACCUCACGCUAUCAGAUGAGCCUAGGUCGGAUUAGCUAGUUGGUGAGGUAAAGGCCUACCAAGGCGACGAUCCGUAACUGGUCUGAGAGGAUGAUCAGUCACACUGGAACUGAGACACGGUCCAGACUCCUACGGGAGGCAGCAGUGGGGAAUAUUGGACAAUGGGCGAAAGCCUGAUCCAGCCAUGCCGCGUGUGUGAAGAAGGUCUUCGGAUUGUAAAGCACUUUAAGUUGGGAGGAAGGGCAGUAAGUUAAUACCUUGCUGUUUUGACGUUACCAACAGAAUAAGCACCGGCUAACUUCGUG
This 484-nucleotide ribosomal RNA is filed under the name uncultured bacterium. RNAcentral describes it as "partial 16S ribosomal RNA". It matches the Rfam family "Bacterial small subunit ribosomal RNA", at positions 30 to 507 of the family's 1533-position model. The record is from RNAcentral.